CCAACCGUAGCUCAGUUGGUAGAGCGCAGAGCUUAUACCUCUGUGGUCCCAGGUUCAAGUCCUGGCGGUUGGA
This 73-nucleotide transfer RNA is filed under the name Candidatus Campbelliibacteriota bacterium. Its description in RNAcentral is "Candidatus Campbellbacteria bacterium tRNA-Ile". It matches the Rfam family "tRNA". From Rfam's summary of the family: Transfer RNA (tRNA) molecules are approximately 80 nucleotides in length. Their secondary structure includes four short double-helical elements and three loops (D, anti-codon, and T loops). The record is from RNAcentral. Lineage: Bacteria; Candidatus Campbelliibacteriota.